Molecule: ribosomal RNA, 487 nt
Filed under: uncultured bacterium
Lineage: Bacteria
Description: bacterial SSU rRNA
Rfam family: Bacterial small subunit ribosomal RNA
Source: RNAcentral
GGCUCAGGAUGAACGCUGGCGGCGUGCCUAACACAUGCAAGUCGAACGAAGCACUUUUUUACGAUCCCUUCGGGGUGACGAAUUUGUGACUGAGUGGCGGACGGGUGAGUAACGCGUGGGAAACCUGCCUUGUACCGGGGGAUAGCAGUUGGAAACGACUGAUAAUACCGCAUAAGCGCACAGUAUCACAUGAUACAGUGUGAAAAACUCCGGUGGUACAAGAUGGUCCCGCGUCUGAUUAGCUUGUUGGCGGGGUAAUGGCCCACCAAGGCGACGAUCAGUAGCCGACCUGAGAGGGCGACCGGCCACAUUGGGACUGAGACACGGCCCAAACUCCUACGGGAGGCAGCAGUGGGGAAUAUUGCACAAUGGAGGAAACUCUGAUGCAGCGACGCCGCGUGAGCGAUGAAGUAUUUCGGUAUGUAAAGCUCUAUCAGCAGGGAAGAUAAUGACGGUACCUGAGUAAGAAGCUCCGGCUAAAUACGUG